CCUUCUAUCCCAGCUAUGUUUCCAGUGUCCUCUGGGUGUUUCCAAGAGCAACAAGAAACGAAUAAAUCUCUGCCAUAGGAGUUUUAGCCAAUUCAGAGGCCUUGCUGCCCACAAUUUGGAAAAUUCCUUUGGAUUUGACCAAGUCAGGAAGAGACGGGAGAAAAGUGAAACAACAACAAUAAAGCCCCAAGCAUAAACAGACAAAAAGAGUUAAGCAAAACAACAAAUGCACAAUUCAUAUGAUUACUGAGUGUUCUAAUGGUAAGGAGAAACUAAAAGCAGAAAUUAAAAGCAGCUGGUGAGUAAUCUUAAAUUUUAGUCAUUAAGGAAAAAUUUUAAGACAAAACUCUAAUUCAGCUACUUACCUGGAAACAAGGCUCAGGCUGGGGAUCGUUCUCUGCCAUCUUAGAAGCUGGAAACAACUUACACUCACCUUCCCUGUCAGAAGCAAGCUGAAACUCAGGAAAGGAGGUGCCUGCUCUCCAUCACCACAGAAGCAGGAAAACUUGCCUUCCUUGUUGGAAAUGAGUAAAACUUCAGAAAAGGAGUUGUACAGCAAAAUCAAACUUAGAUCUCAACCAGAUUUUGGGAGAUCAGGGACUCUUUGCAGGGGAGAAGCUCCACAACCUCAGCAAAUUAUCCUGUUGGUUUGGGCAAUAAAGAUAGCCCAGGUUGGUAGCAAUCAAUAAUGAGAUUUAUCAAAGGUCAGGACCACCUUUGUAAUGUCCUUCUCUGUCUUUUUUUAUCUUUAUUGGUAUAUACGUUUUGUCGAAACUGAGGGUGUAACACCUGAUUUCUUCUGUUUUCCAUUGGCUUGAAAGAUUUUUCACCAUUCCUUCAUUUUGAGCCUAUGUAUGGCACUGCAGGUGAGAUGGGUUUCUUGGAGACGGCAUACUCAAAUGGGUCUUGGUUCUUUAUCCAGCUUGCCCCCCUGUGUCUUUCAAUCGGAGCAUUUGGCCCAUUUCCAUUUAAGGUUAGUAAUGGUAUGUGUGGAUUAGAUCCUGUCGUCCUGCUGUCAGCUAGUUAUUUUGCAGACUUGUGUGUGUGGUUGGUUUUUAGCAUUACUGGUCUGUGUACUUCGGUGCAUUUUUGUAGUGGCUGGUGAUGGUCUUUUCUUUCCAUAUUUAGUGCUUCAUUCAGGAGCUCUUGUAGAUCUGGUGAUAAUGAAUUCUCUCAGCAUUUGCUUGUCUGAAAAGGAUCUUGUUUCUCCUUCACUUAUGAUGCUUAAUUUUGCUGGACAUGAAAUUCUGGGUUGAAAUUUCUUUUUCUUUUAACCAUUUAUAAUAACACCAUGUUAUUAUAUGGUAUAUCUGUCUCUGCCAUACUACGUGAAAUUUCUUUUCUUUAAGAAGUUGAAUAUCUUUUCUGGCUUGUAGGGUUUCAGCUGAGAAGUCUGCUAAGUCUGAUGGAAUUCCCUUUGCAGGUGACGUUGCCUUUCUCCCUGGCUGCCUUUAACAUUGUUUCUUUCAUUUUGACCUUGGAGAAUCUGAUGAUUAUAUGUCUUGGGGAUGAUCUUCUCGUGGCUUAUCUUACUGAGGUUCUCUGGAUUUCCUGAAUUGGAAUGUUGGCCUGUCUGGAUAGGUUGGGGAUAUUCUCAUGAAUGAUAUUCUGACGUAUGUUUUCCAAGUUGGUUCCAUUCUCCUCAUCUCUUUCACGUACACUAAUCAGUCAUAGAUUUUGUCGUUUAUAUAAUCUCAUAUUUCUUGGAUGUUUUGUUCAUUCAUUUUCCUUCUUUUUUCCCCCAUUCUUGUCUGCCUGUUUUAUUUCAGAAAGCCAGUUUUCAAGCUCUGGGAUUCUUUCCUCUGCUUGGUCUAUUCUGCUGGGUGGUCUUGCACAUGAGAUGGAGCUGGUGUGACCUCAGCCCUCCUUAGUCUGCUUGCCUCUCCCAGGACCCCAGCCUGGCCACACCUGCUUACAGGGCAAUCUCGGGUGCCCACAAACACUACAAUAAUUUUCAUAAUGCAAUCACACAUAAUCACUAUGUGACUGCAUUAUGAAAAUUCUUGUAGUGUGCUUUUCAGCUCUAUUAGGUCGGUUAUGUCUUCUUUAUACUUGCUAUUUUGUCUGUUAGCUCCUACAAUGUUUUACAAUGAUUUUUAGCUCUGUUGUAUUGCAUGACAACAUACUUCUUUCACUCAGUGAACUUUGUUCCUACGCAUAUCCUGAACCCUGCUUGUAUCAUUCCAGACAUCUCAGCCUCAGCCCAGUUCUGAACACUUGCUGGAGAGUUGAUACAGUCAUUUGGAGGAAAGAAGGCAUGCUGACUUUUUGAGUUUUCAGUGUUCUCACACAGAUUCUUUCUCAUCUUUAUGGGCUUAUCCACCUUCCAUCUUUGAGGUUGCUGACCUUCGGACAGGGUAUUUUUCUUUUAUUGUAUUUGAUGAUCUUGAGGGUUUCAUUGUGGGAUAAGGUGGAUUCAACCAACUGGCUUUGUUUUUGGAGGAUUUUAGGGGGGCCAAUGUGCAGCUCCCAAUUCCUGGACUUUGUGCUUUAACUCUGGGGAACUUGUCUUGAGCCCCAACUUUGUUCUCUGGCUCUUGGAGGUUUGGAGUCCACUGCACUGAGGGGACCAAAGUGUGUCAACUGUGGCAGAAUGCUAGUGGAUGCAAAAGUCCCUGCCUCCCUGCGGGCGUUCACCCAGUGGUGGAGGCAAGACAGCUGGGGUGUGGGCCAGGGGUCCCCUGCUGUGUGUGUGUUGCACUGGAGGUAGUGUUGGUUCAGGGUGGGCUGCUGGCCAGUGCAGGCCAUGGUGCCUUCUCUGUGCCCCUCAAAGCAACCGUGGUCACUCAGGUUAUAAGAAGGUCCCUUUUUCUCUGCACAGCAUUAGCUCAAGGGUUAGGUGCUGGCAGGGGUGGGGUUCUUGGUUCUGUGCCCACCAAGGCUCUGUCUUCAAUGGCAGUUGGUGUGGGUUGGGGUGUGUCCUGCACUCCCCUGUGCUGUCAGGGCAAGUACAGCAAAACCCACAUGUGUAAACACACACAGCAAAGUGAUGUAGGAAGUUUCCAUAUAAAGGGCUGCAGUACGGAGAGGUAAUGUGCAGGCUGGUGCGUGGCUGUUGGGGCCACCUUGCUGCAGCUCUCCACUGAUCAGGUACAGUCCACUAGCAUGGAAGCUAUGCUGUGGGCAUCCGAGAGUGCCCUGUAUGCAGGUGUGGCCAGGCUGGGGUCCUGGGAGAGGCAAGCAGACUAAGGAGUGCUGAUAUCAGACCAGCCCCAUCUCAUGUGCAAGACUGCCCAGCAGAGAUCAGGUCUCAGAGGAGAACUCUCUCAAAAGUGAACCCCCGGCACAGCAUAGCUGCUUUACACAAACAUGGCCAGGCUUCUGUUUUAAGCAAGUCCCCUUUUUGAAGAGGGGAACUCUGGGACCUGAUCUCUGCUGGGCAAUCUUGAACAUGAGAUGGGGCUGAUCUGAACUUAGCAUUCCUAAAGUGCUGGGAUAAAGUAUCUCACAAGGGCACGUGGAGCCUAGAGAGAUAGCUGUCCCUGCCCUCUGGGCUCCACAUCACCUGACUUGCUGCUCCACCACUCUGCUUGUCUCCUGGGUGCUCCAUCCCAUAGAGAUGUGAGUUAGCAAUCACUUAGCGUAAUCAGCCCAGGAUGGAGGGUCUGUAUUGUGAGGUCAAGCCAGUGUUCCCUCUCUGGUGAUGAGCAGUGGGGGGUGUGUGGUACCCGUGGGAGAUGGACUGGCUUGUUCAUUGGGUCAACCGCAGCUUAUUGGAGGUGUCAAUAUGGCACUUAGGGUCUUUGCUCCCUUGAUAUUCUGAGGGUAGAAAGGGCAGUUUCACUGCAGAGGCAAUGGAAGAGAGAAUUUCGUUUGCUCCUGGAAGCUCUGUCCAGGGAAUUGCUGAGUUGCUACUGGCUGGAUAGCUCUGAUGGUGGACUGGCUGGAGACCCAGGUCAGUAGGACCUGCCCAUCAAGUAGACUGUCUGGCCACUUUUCUGUCAGGCUGCUGUGGUAUGCUGGGGGUCCCCUCCAGUCCCUAAUUGCCUUGUAUUUUCCAGGGAAGAUGAUAGCCUGCCCCUUCCUCUGGGAGCUCUGUGCCACUGAGGUACGAACUUGUUGCCAGUAUGAACACACCUAUAAGAUGUGACUGGAGACAAGUUGAGAAGUCUUAUCUAGUCAGGAGGAACAAAAACAGGCACUGACUUAAAAAAAAAGUCUGGGCACGUUUUUCUAGAGCAGCUGUGCUAUGCCGGGUGUUCACUUCCACUCCUGGUUGCCUCAGACACUCUGAAGCCCUAAUGCUGAAAUGGCUGAGUUGCCCCAACAGCAAAGACAACAGUCUGGUCCUCCCCCUGGGAGCUCUGACUCAGGGAGGCCUGAAACCUCUGUCGGCCAGAGAACAGCAGUGAGGGCAGCUGGAGACCCUGGUUGAAAGCCUUCACCUGCUGAUUAGAAAUGUGGUCGGGGACUGACUUAAACAAGAGUCUGGCCACGUUUUUGUAGUGUGGCCGUGCUGCGCUGAGGUUCCUCUUCCACCCCUUGUCACCUUGGGCUUUCCAAAGCCCGCAAACCAGAACGGCUAGUCACCCAAACAGCAAAGGUGGUGGCCUGCCCCUCUCUCUGGGAGCUCUGUCCCGUGAACACUUCAAAUUUCUAUUGGCCAAGGAAUGCUGGUGGUGGUAGCUGGAGGCCCCAUUUGGGAGGUCCUGUACAGUGAUGUGCAACAAGGUCGGGGGCCUGCUUACAGAAGCAUUCUGGCCAUGAUUUGGUAAAGCAGCUAGCUGUGCUGUGGGAUCUCUUCUGCCCCUUGUCGGUUUAUACUCUCCAAAGCCCUCAGGCUGGAAUGACUAAGUUGCCUGAACAGGAAAGAUGGCGGCCUGCCCCAUCUAUUCUCUCAGAGUUCAUCUUGUUUGAUGGAGCUUAAUUUUUAGCCUGUUAAUUUUACUGUCUACAUUAGACUUGUUCGGAAAGAAUCUGCUAUAUUUUAGGUUAGAUAUAUGAGAAUUCAUUGUUUUCUGUAAAUAAACCUGUUCAUGUCUUGUUCUCUGGAAAGAAAUCUCUUUCAACUAUCUGACUUUGGUCACAGUCAUAUAGAGCAGUAGCCAGUCUAUAAUGACAUAAUUGAAUUUCCAUUUCCAGUGUUUUGUUUUUGUGUCUUACAUUGUACAGUUCAGAAAUGAGCAUUUUAUUCCCAAUUGUCAAAAAGCUAAGCUGUCCACUGUACUGAAAUACUGUUUUUGUUAAUGCUUCGUCAUUCAAUUUUUUAAAGGUGAACACUUUUAUCCAACUUUUCUCACGUCAGAGUACAGGUAAGCCCUGGCUGCCUUGAGCCACUCUCAGGGAGACCAAAACCCUUCAUACAUUACAAGUUGGGGUACAAAAAAGUGGGGCCAUGAAGGCUAGUCAUUCAAAAUAAAACAAAAUUUGAAAGUAUUAAGGCAAAGAUUUAAAAAAUUUUGCAUUAUGUAAUUUACACAAAAGCAAUGCUAUCGCCUACCAUGUGUGAACUCGGGAGAGGACUGGGCCAUUCUCCUUAGAGAGAAGUAGGGUGGCUUUUAGGAGGGCAAGGGGCUUCCUGAAACAAUGCAUCUCACAAUAUUUGGAAUGACUAUUGAAAAUAAGAACAUUGUACAAUCAAAGUCCUUGGCGACAUUGUAGAACUAGCGGGUGCUGACCCCUGAGCCACAACCACAGUUCUGGGUUUGGGGUUUGGUAAAACCACCCCAAGGACAGAGUUCUGGGGCCGGGUUUUGGAGGAACCAAGGCGCCUCCCAGGGAUGGUGUGUCACUCCUGCUUGCCAUGAAAUGUGCACACAGGCUGUCCCCCUGCCCAUCCCAUCCUGCUGGACAGGAUGGAGGAAGUGAGGGAACAGGCAGGGUGGACAGCUGGAAUUCAGGGAGAGGCAGGUGCAUGCUGGGAGGUCAGGACCUGUGAGGGCUGUGGGGGCAUCAGGUGGAGUGGGCUCCAGGUGCACCCUCAGUGCACAGGGCAAGUCUCAGGCCAGGCUCCCUGGACCCCGGCUGGGUGAUGUGGUCACUCCCUGGGGGACUGCUGUCAGACCCUGGCCACCCUCCCUGGGCAGCACCGUCCCAUCCCAGAACUGGACUUUCUGAGUCCUAAAACAGGACAGUGCUGCCCAGGCCUGACAGACUGGGAGGACCUGUGAAGUCCUCCAUCCCUAGACCAGCCUCCCAACAGCAGGGACAGUCUCCUACCUUUACCUUCAGGUAAAGGUACUGAUACAUCUCAUUCUAAGGCAACCAAGGCAGAGCUGAGGACCUGUGCCAGGCUGGGAGCCAGUCCUCUCCCUAAAUGGGCCUUAGGGAAGCCUCAUCCCUGUCCCAGUGCACUGCAAGUUUCAGCCCAGGAGACACAUAGGGAAGUGAGGAAGGGGCCUCCCCACUGGCUGACCCUGGAAAAGUGGGACCUGGGAGAAGAGGGAGUGCAGGGCUGGCAGGGGAUGCUCCAGGCCCAUGGAGAGCUCAGGCUGCACCAAGGGGCUGCCCCUCCUGGGCUGGAGGCUGUGCUCUCUACAGUAUCUGAGGAAGUCCAGUCCUGAGAUGGGACAGUGCUACCCAGGGUGGGUGGCCAGCACCUGACAACAGUCUCCCAGCAAGUGACCACAUCACCCGGCCAAGGUCCAGGGAGCCUGGGCCAAGACCUGCCCAGUGCGCUGAGGGUGCACCUGGAGCCCACACCACCUGACGCCCCCACAACCCUCAUAGGGUCUGACCUCCCAGCAUGCACCUGCCUCUCCCUGAAACCAAGCUGCCCAACCUGCCUGUUCCCUGGCCUCCUCCAUCCUGUGCAGACCAUAGACUGUGACUAUCUCUCCGACCACUCUGGCCCUUCCUUUACCUUUGUCCUGUCAGAAUCUCUGAGCAAGAUCUCCCAGGUCCAUCCAAACACCUGCUUUGUCCAGUUUUGACUGGGCCACUGAACACCACUGGGCCACCCCAGCUGUCCACAGGCUCCUCGAUAACAUGCAUUUCCCCUGACAUCUCCCAGCAGUACUCAGCAGCCCCCACUGACCAGGUCCCUGGUGACCAGAUCCAGCAUAUCACUUCCUCCCUGACCACACCCUCACUGAUUAGAGCCCCAUCACCAGGCCUCACUAACUAGAUUCCCGCUGCCAGGCCCACAAUGACCAGGACUCCACUGACGAGGACCUUACUGACAAGGCCUCACUGGCAAGGCCUCACUGACGAGGUCCUUACUGACAAGGCCUCACUGAUCAGGUUCCGCCGAUCAUGACCUCAUCGUCUGGUCCCACAGACGAAGCCCCACUGACCAGGCCUGCAGGGAAUAGGCAGCCAGUGACCAGGCCCCUGCUAACCAGGACUGAGGUGACAAGAUGCCCCUGACUGGGACCCUAAUGACUACGCCCCACUGAACAGGCACACACUGCUCAGAUCCCCGCUGACCAGGUCACCCCGUAGACCAGUGCUACAAAAGCCACCAAUGAUCAAGUCCUCUCUGACCAGGCCCCCACUGAUUAAGUUCCACGGACCAGCCUGCCCUGACCAGGGCCCCACUGACAAGCGUCUCUGCUGACUCGGUCCCAAGGUCUCCACUGACCAAGUCCCACAGCCCAGAUUGGCACUGACCAGACACCAAACAUUUGUCUACCACUAUCAACCCACUCACCAAGACAUACACUACUAGAUCCCUCUAAUGAGACCCGCUCUAAGCAGACCCCUGCUGACCACCCCCCACUAAAUAGGCCUCACUGACAAGUCCCAACUGACUAGGUCCACUGAGCAGGCCCACACUGAUCAGGCCCCUCCUAACCAUAUCAGAAGACCAAGAGGCAAUGAGAUGUUUCAUAUGGCAGGAGUAGGAGCAAGACAGAGAGGGGAAAGAGGUGUGACAUCCUGUUAGACAACCAGAUCACAUGAGAACUCACUAUCAGGAGAUCAGCAUCAAGAAGACUAACCAAUGGUGAAGGAUUCUCCAACCACACCACUGCCCACUGCUUCCAGGCAGAAGCCUCCUGCAGAGGCAGAACCUCUUAUGAAACUUCCACUAUGGCAGCGCAGAAAGAAAAUAUAGGCUUUGAGCCCCCACACAAGAGGCCACGAUCCUCCAGACUCCAGAUUAAUAAGCCCACCAACAGCUCACACUCUCAGUAUGGAAAAGCUACAGGCACUCAACACCAACCCAGCCCAUGAGAUCAGCCAUGGGGGCUACACCCUGCAAAGCCACAGGUGCACUCUCCUGGUAGAGGUUUCCCAUGAGCCUCUGCCUCUGCAGCAGGUUACUCCCACCUUCCCACCACCCUACUGACAACCUACUCCUCCCCACACUAUCCCUCCUUUUCCUUCCACCCCAACCCCCUCCCAUCCAAGAUUAAGUCACCUCCCACCUGGCCCACCUCCAACAUUAAGGAUGACAUGUGAGUUUUAUAGGGACACACAGCCAACUCAUAUUAUUCUGACCCUGAUUCCCCAGAACCUCAUGUCCUUCUCACAGAGCAAAACACAAUCAUGCCUUUUCAAAAGUUUCUAAAAGUCUUAACUCAUUCCGAAUGUAAAAAUUUCAAAAUCUCAUCUGAGACAAGGUUACAGUCCCUUCUGCCAAUGAGUCCCUGAAUUUAAAAGGGAUUUCUUUUCCUUCAAGGUAGAACAGGUAUUGGAUAAGGUUUCUCAAUCCAAAGGGAAGAAGUUGCCCAGAAAAAUAACACAAAUGCAAGUCCAAAACCCAGCAAGACAGUAUUCACUCAAUCUCACAGCUCCAAAAUCAUCAAGAGAACUCACUGUCGUGCGGACAGCAUUAAGGAGAUAGAGUUUACUCAUUUGUGAAGAAUCUGCCCCCCACCCUCACCUUUCACUCCCUCCCACAAAAUAAUCUCUCCCAUUCUCCCCACACCCCUACCUCCAACACCCACUCUUCUCCAUGAUUAAAUCACCUCCCACCAGGUCCCACCUUUAACAUUCCCCACUACAAUUCCACAUGAACAUUGGUAGGGACACAGAAUCAAAUCAUAUUAUUCUGGCUCUUGCUCCCCAAAUCUUGUAUCCUUGUCACACUGCAAAAUACACUGAUGAUUUCUCUACUGUCCCCCAAUGACUUAACUCAUUCCAGCAUUUACUGAAAUGUACAAAGACUUACAGACCCCAUGCAAGUCAAAAACCCAGCAGGCCAGUCAUUGAAUCCUACAGCUCCAAAUCAUCUUUUCUGAAUCUACAUCUCACAUCUAGAGCACAGGUGUGUGAUGCCUGGGCUUCCAAGGCCUUGGGUAGCUCUGCACCUGUGGCUGUGCAGGGUCUAUACCCCACAGCUGCCCUCAUGGGCUGGGCUGAUGUUGAGUGCCUGUAGCAUUUCCAUACUAAGGGUGCCAGCUGUUGGUGAGUCUAUGAAUCUGGAGUCUGGAGAACGGUGCCUCCAUAUUUAGGGACUCCAGCCCUAAAUUCUCCUUCUGUACUGCCCUAGUAAAAGUUUCCCAUGAGGCUCUGCCUCUUGGAAAAGAUUCUGUGUGAACACCCAGGUUCUUCCGUGCAUACUCUGGAGUCUAGACAAAGGCUUGCAAGCGUCUAGUUUUGUGCUGUGUGCAGCUGCUGGCUUAACACUAUGUGGAAACCACCAAGCCUUGGAGCUUGCACCCCUGAAGCAGUGAUGCAAGCAGUACCUGUGCAUCUUUCAGCCAAGGCUGGAGCUGGAGCUUCAGGAAUGCAGCCAGCAGUGUCCUGAGGUUGGACAUAGCAGUGGGGCCAUGGGGCUGGAGAAGGAAACCAUUCUUUUCUCCCAGGCCUCAGGGCCUGUGAUAGCAAGGGCUGCUGCAAAAGUCUCUGAAAUGCCUUCAAGACCUUUUUAAUAUUGUAUUGGCUAUUAGCACUGAACUCCUUUUUAUGCACAUUUCUGAAGACUUUUUGAACUUUCCCACUGAUAAUCAGCUUUUCUUUUUGGCCACUUGGCCAGGCUUCAAAUUAUCCAAACUUUUAAGCUCUCCUUCUCAUUUAAAUACAAGUUUCACCUUGAGGUCAUUUCUUUGGUCACAUAUAGGACCACAGGCUGUUCGACACAGACAGGAAACCUCUUAAGCUUUGCUGCCUAAAAUUUCAUUCCACCAAAUACACUCUAAAUUAUCACCCUGAUGUUCAAAAUUUCACAGGUCUCCAGGUUAGGGGCAUCGUGCAGCAACAUUCUUUGCUAAGGAAAAAACAAAAGUGACCUUGACUCCUGUUCCCAGCAAGCUCCUCAUUUUCAUGUGAGACCUUCUAAGCCUGGUGAUCACUGUCCAUCCUUCUGUCACCUUUUUAAUUAUAACUAUUUAACAAGUCUCUACACUGAUCCAAACUUUUCCUCAUCUUCCUGUCUUCUUCCAAGACCUCCAAACUCUCCAACCUCUGGCCAUUACACACUUCUCAACCUGCUUCUACAUUUUCAGCUACGUUUGUCACAGCCUGGCAAUGUGGUAAAAGAAGAAAAGUCCAUUUCAGGAGAAAAAUUAACGCAGGCUUCAGACAUUUGCCUGAAAAGAAGCUGAGUGCUGAUUGCCAAGAGAAUAGGAAAAAGGCCUUGAAGGCAUUUCAUAGUUCCACUUUAUGGCAUUAUUUUUCUGUAUAAUCAGAAAGAAAAGAGGUUGAACUGGCUCAUGGUUCUGCAAGCUUUAAAUAAAUCAUAGAGGCUUCUGCUUCUGGGAGGACUCAGGAAGCCUCCCAAUCAUACCAGAAGACCAAGCAGCAAUGGGAUGUUUUAUAUGGCAGAAGUAGAAACAAAACAGAGAGAGGAAAAAGGUGCCACACGUUGUAUAACCCUGUUAUACAACCAGAUUUCCUGAGAACUCACUAUCACAAGGUCAGUAUCAAGAAGAUGUUGCUUAAUCAUUGGUGAAAGUUCUGCCCCCUACCACCCACACCCCUCACUGUUUCCAGGCAGAAGCCUGAGGAAGAGGCAGAGCCACUAGGAAAACCUCUAAUAGGGCAGAGCAGAAAAAGUAUAUGGGCUUGGAGGCCCCACACAGGAGGUUACCAUCCUCAGACCCCAGAUUCAUAGACUCACCAACAGCUUGCACUCUCAGUAUGGAAAAGCUACAGCCACUCAAUAACAGCCCAGCCUAUGAGGUCAGCCAUGGGGGCUACACCCAGCAAAGCCAUAGGUGCACUGCCCUGGUGGAGGUUUUCCUUGAGGCUUUGCCUCUGCAGCAGGCUACUCCCCCUUAAUACUGCCCACGAACCUCUCACCACCCUACUGCCAGCCUACUCCUCCCCAUCCUACCCAUUUGUUUUCCCUUCCACCCCUACCAACCUCCCGUUUGUGAUUAAAUCACCUCCCAGCAGGCCCAACCUACAACUGUCAGGAAUACAAUUCCCCAUGAGUUUUUGUAGGGAAACACAGCCAAACCAUAUUAUCCUGACCCUGACACCCCCACAUCUCAUGUCCUUCUCACACAGAAAAAUACAAACAUGCCUUUUCAAAAGUUUCAAAAAGUCUUAACUCAUUCCAGCAGUAACUCAAAUGUAGUAAGUUCAAGUCUCAUCCAAGACAAGGCUACAAUCCCUUCUGCCUAUGAGUCCCUGAAUGUAAAAGACAAUUCUUUUCUUUCAAGUUACAAUGAUGGCACAGGCACUGGGUAGGCUUUCUUAAACCAAAGGGAAGGGUUUCCUAGAAAAAUAACACAAAUGGGACACAGGCCCAAUCCGACUCCAAAACCCAGCAGGACAGCAUUCAUUUAUCACAAGAACUCACUGUCACACAGACUGCAUUAAGGAGAUAGUAUUUAACCAUUUGUGAAGGAUCUGACACCCAUCCCCAUGUUUCACCCUCACCCACACCAUGAACCUCCAUUCUCCCACAUCCCCCUUCCAACCCCCAUUCUCUACCAUGAUUAAAUCACCUUCUACCAAGCCCCACACUUAACAUUCCCCAUUAUAAUUCCACAUGAGUUUUGGUAGGGACACAGAGCCAAAUCGUAUUAUUCUCCCUUUGGCCCCCCAAUCUCACAUCCUUCUCAUACUGCAAAAUACAAUGAUGCAUUCUCUACAGUCCCCCAAUGUCUGAACUCAUUCCAGCAUUUACUCAAAUGUCCAUUUGUGAAGGAUCUACCCCCUACCCCUGCCUUUCACCCCAACCCCACCACAAUCGCCCCCAACCCUCCCCACCCCUUAAUCCCCCCAACCCUCCCCACCCCCCAACCAUCUAACCUCCACUCUUCAACAUGAUUAACUCACCUUCCACCAGCCCCCACCUUUAACAUUUCCCAUUAAAAUUCUACAUGAGUUUUGGUAGAGACAGAGCCAAAACAUAUUAUUCUGUCCCUGGUCCCCCAAAGUUCAUGUCUUUCUCACAUUGCAAAAUGCAAUGAGGCCUUCCCUAGAGUCCCCCAAAUCUUAACUCAUCCCAGCAUUUACUCAAAUGUCCAAAGGCCAAAGUCUCCUCUGAGACAAGGCUGCCAUAUCUUCUGGCCUGAGCCUCUGAAAUACAAAGCAAGUUAACCACUUCCAAGUUACAAUGAUUGUACAGGCAUUGGGUAAGCAUUCCAAGCCAAAUAGAAGAAAUUUCCCAGAAAGAAGCACAAAACACAGAUGGGACUUACACACCCCCUGCAAGUCAAAAACCCAGCAGGCCAGGCAUUCCAUCAUACAGCUUCAAAUCAUCUUUUUGGAAUCUAUGUCCACAUCCAGAGCACAGGGUUUUGUGAUGGCUGGGAUCCCAAGGCCUUGGGCAGCUCUGCACAUGUGGCAUUGCAGAAUCUCCCCCCUACAGCUGCCGUCAUUGGCUAGGCUGGUGUUGAGUGCCUGUAGCUUUUCAACACUAAGGGUGCAAGCAGCUGGUGGGUCUAUGAUACUGGGGUCUGGAAAAUGGUGCCUCCCUGUAUGGGGACUCCAACCCUAUAUUUUCCUUUUGUACUGCCCGAGUAGAGGUUUACCAUGAGGCUCUGCCUCUUGGAAAAGCUUCUGGCUAGACACUCAGGAUUUCUGAUAUAUACUCUGGAGUCCAGACCAAGGCUCUGAAGCUUCUAGUCCUGUGCUUUAUGCACCUGCUGGCUUAACACUAUGUGGAAGCCACCAAGGCUUGGAGCUUGCAUCCUCUGAAGCAGUGACGCAAGCUGUACCUGUGCAUCUUUCAUCUAUGGCUGGGGCUGGAAAAGGAGCUGCAAGGAUGCAGGCAGCAGUGUCCUGAGGCUGCACACAGCAGUGGAGCCAUGGGGCUGGGCCAGGAAACUAUUCUUUUCUCCUAAACCCCAGGGCCAGUGACAGCAAGGGCUGCUACAAAGAUCUCUGAAACGCCUUCAAGGCCUUUUUCCCAUUGUCUUGAAUUAUUAGCACUGGGCUCCUUUUUAUGCAAAUAUCCGAAGGCUUCUUGAUUUUCCCCCUGAAAAUCAGCUUUUCUUUUUGACCAUUUGUCCAGAUUACAAAUUUUCCAAAUGUUGAAGCUCUGCUUCUCAUUUAAAUAUAAGUUCCAACUUAUGGUAAUUUCUUUCAUCACACAUAGGAGCACAGGCUGUUCGACGUAGGCCGGACAACCCUUCAGCUUUGCUGCUUAGAAGUUCAUUCCACCAGAUACACCCUAAAUCAUCACCCUAAAGUUCAGUUUCACAGAUCUCCAGGGAAUGGUCACUGUGUAGCCAAUUACUUUGCUAAGGCAAAAGAAAAAAACCUUGACUCCUUUUCCCAGUAAGUUCCUCAUCUUCAUCUGAGACCUUACAAGCCUGGCCUUCAGUGUCCAUCCUUCUGUCAGCCUUUUAAUCAUAACUAUUUAACAAGUCUCUGCAAUGGUCCAAACUUUCCCUCAUCUUGCUAUCUUCUUCCAAGCUCUCCAAACUCUCUAACCUCUGGCCAUUACCCAAUUUGGAACCUGCUUCUACACUGUCAGCUAUCUUUGUUGCAGCCUGGCAAUAUGGUAAAAGAAGAAAAGUCCAUUAUCAGGGGAAACAUCAAGAUGGCCUCCAAUAUUUGCAUUGAAAAAAGCUCAGUGCUAAUAGCCAAGAGAAUGGGGGAAACGCCUAGAAGUCAUUUCAUAACUUCACUUCACAGCAUUAAUUUUCUGUAUCUACAUAAAGAAAAGAGGUCUAAUUGACUCACAGUUCUUCAGGCUGUAAAGAAAGCAUAGUGGUUUCUGCUUGUAGGAGGACUCAGAAAGCCUCCCAAUUAUACCAGAAGGCCAAGCGGCAAUGAAAUAUUUCAUAUGGCAGGAGUAGAAGCAAGACAGAGAGAGGAAAGAGGUGAGACAACCUGUUAUACAACUAGAUCUCAUGAGAGCUCACUAUCAGGAGAUCAGCAUCAAGAAGAUUGUGCUUAACUGUUGGUGAAGGAUCUGCCCACCUCCCCAUAUCCACCACCCACUGUUUCCAAGCAGAAGCCUGAGGCAGAGACAGAUCCCCUUGGAAAACCUCUACUAGGGCAGUACAGAAGGAAAAUAUGGGCUUGGAGCCCCCACGCCUCCAUCCUCCAGACCCAAGAGUCAUGGACUUACCAACAGCUCACACCCCCAGUAUGGAAAAGCUUCAGGUACUCAACACCAGCCCAGCCCAUGAGAGCAGCAGCAGGUGCUAAACCCUGCAAAGCCACAGGUGCAAAACCACAGGUGCACUGCCUUAGUAGAGGUUUUCCAUGAGCCUCUGCCUCUGUGGCAGUCUACUCCCUUCCUGCUACACACCACCCUACAGCCAGCCUACUCCUCCCCACCUUACCCACCUGUUUUUACUUCCAACCCCACCCCUCUCCCAUCCAUGAAUAAGUCACCUCUCACCAGGCCCCACCUGCAACAUUCGGGAUUACAAUUACAUGUGAGUUUAGGUAGGGACACACAGCUAAACCAUAUUAUUCUGACCCUGAUCCCCCAAAUAUCCUAUCCUUCUCACAGAGUAAAAUAUAAUCAUGUCUUUUCAAAAGUUGCCAAAAGUCUUAAGUCAUUUCAGCAUUAACUCGAAUGUAAAAAGUUCCACGUCUCACCUGAGAAAAGGCUACAGUCCCUUUUGCCUAUAAGUCCCUGAAUUUAAAAGGGAGUUCUUUUCUUUCAAGGUACAAUGAUGGUACAGGCAUUGGGUAAGUUUUCUCAAUCCAAAGGGUAGGGGUUUGCCAGGAAAAUAACACAAAUGGAAUUACAGGGCCAAUGCAAGUCCAAAACCCAGGAGACAAGUAUCCAUUAAAUCUCACAGCUCCAAAACCGUCACGAGAACUCACUAUCAUGAGGAAAGGAUUAAGGAGAUGCUGUUUAACUAUUUGUGAGGGAUCAUACCCCCACCCCCACUUUUCACCCCUCACCGCCAGCAUAAUCCACCCAUCCUCCCCAAUCUCCAUCUUGCAACACCCAGUGCCCUCCAUGAUUAAAUCACCUUCCACCUGGCCCCAAUUUUAACAUUUCUGAUUACAAUUCCACAUGAGUUUCCAUAGCGACACACAGCCGAAUCUUAUUAUUCUGUCCCUGCCUCCCCAAAUCUCAUGUCCUUCUCACUUUGCAAAAUACAGUGAUGCCUUACUUACAAUUCCCCAAGCCACUAUGCUUUUUUUUACAGCCUGCAGAACCAUCAGCCGAUUAAACCCCUUUUUGUUAUGAUCAUACAGAAAAUUAGUACUGUGAAGUGAAGCUAUGAAACGCCUUCAAUGACUUUUCCCCAUCGUCUUGGCUAAGACCUCCAAGGUCUUAACUCAUUCCAGCAUUUACUUCAAUGUCUGAAGCCCAAAGUCUCAUCUGAGACAAAGAUGCAGUCCCUUCUGUUCCUGAGCCUCUGAAAUACAAAGAAAGUUAACUAUUUCCAAGGUAUGAUUGUCCAGGCAUUGAGUAAGAAUUCCCACCCUAAAGGAAGAUUUUUGCCAGAGAGAACAACGAAACACAAACGGGACUUACAGGUCCCAGGAAAAUCCAAAACCCAGCAGGCCAGUUACUCAAACUUACAGCUCCAAAGUCAUCCUUUUUUAAUCCUUGUCCCACAUCCAGGGCACAAGGGCAUGAGGGCUGGACUCCCAAGGCCUUGGGCAGAUCUGCACCUGUGUCUUUGCAGUUUUCAGUCCCCACAGCUGUCCUCAUGGCCUGUGCUGGUGUUGAGUGCCUGUAGUUUUUACGCACAGAGUGUACAAAGCUCUUGGUGGGUCUAUGAAUCUGGGGUCUGCAUAUGGUGGCCUCCAGUGUGGGGGCUCCAACCCCAUAUUUUCCUUCUGCACUGCCCUAGUAGAGGUUUCCCAGGAGGCUCUGCUUUUUUGGCAGCCUUCUGUCUGGACACUCAGACAUUUUCAUACAUCUUCCAAAAUCUAUAUGAAUACUCUGAAGCCUCUGGGCUGGUGCUCUAUGGACUUGCUGGCUUAAGACUAUGUGGAAGCCGUGAAGCCUUAUAGCUUGUACCCUCUGAAGCAGUGAUGCAAUCUGUACCUGUGCAUCUUUCAGCCAAGGUCGGAGCAGGAGCUGCGGCUGCUGGGAUGCAGGCAGCAGUGUCCUGAGGCUGCAUACAGCAGCAGGGCCAUGGGGCUGGCCCCAGAAACCAUUCUUCUCUCCUAGGCCCCAGGGUCUGUGACACCAAGGGCUGCUGCAACCAUCUCUGAAAUGCCUCCAAGGCUUUUCCCCCCCAUUGUCUUGGCUAUUAGCACUGGCCUCCAUUUUAUGCAAAUUUCUGGAGCCUUCAUGAAUUUUCCCCCUGAAAAUCAGCUUUUCUUUUUGACCACUUGGCCAGGCUGCAAAUGGUUCUAAACUUUUGAUCUCUGCUUGUCAUUUAAAUAUAAGUUCCAACUUGAGGUCAUUUCCUCAGUCACACAUAACCUUGGUCACACAAGAACACGGGCUGUUUGAUGCAGACAGGAUUCCCCUUGUGCUAUGCUGCCUAGAAGUUCAUUCCACCAGAUAUGCACUAAAUCAUCACCCUCAAGUUCAAAGUUUCACAGAUCUCGAGGGCAAGGUCGCCCUGCAGCCAUGUUCUUUGCUACAGCAAAACAAAAGUAACCUUGGCUCCUGUUCCCAGUAAUUUCCUCAUUUUCAUCUGAGACCUUGUAAGCCUGGCCUUCACUGUCCAUCCUUCUGCCAGCCUUUUAAUCACAACUAUUCAACAAGUGCCUACGAUGGUCCAAAAUUUCUUUCAUCUUCCUGUCUUCUUUCAAGCUCUCCAAACUCUCCAACCUCUGGCUGUUACCCACUUCUGAACCUGCUUUACGUUUUCAGCUAUCUUUGUUGCAGCCUGACAAUGUAGAAGAAAAAGAAGUCCAUUUUCAGGGGGAAACUUCAAGAAGGCUUCAGAUAUUUGCAUUAAAAAGAAGUCCAGUGCUAAUAGCCAAGACGAUGGGGAAAUGUCAUUGAAGAUAUUUCAUAGCUCCACUUCGCAGUACUUUAUUUUCUGUAUGAUCAUAAUGAAAAGGGGUUUAAUUGGUUCAUGGUUCUGCAGGCUGUAAAGAAAGCAUAGUGGCUUCUGCUUCUGGGAGGACUCAGGAAGACUCCCAAUCAUACCAAUAGGAAAACAGCAAUGAAAUAUUUCAUAUGGCAGGAGUAGGAGCAAGGCUGAGAGAGGAAAGAGGUGCCACUCUGUUAUAUAACCAGAUCUCAUGAGAACUCACUAUCACUAGGUCAGCAUCAAGAAGAUGGUGCUUAACCAUUGGUGAAGGAUCCACCCCCCAACACAGCUCCACCUCCUAGUGUUCCAGACAGAAGCCUGCUGCAGAGGCAGAGGCUCUUGGGAAUCCUGUACUAUGGCAGUGCAGAAGGAAAAUAAGGGCUUUGACUGACUAUGCAGGAGGCCACCAUCCUCGAGACCCCAGAUUCAUAGACCUACCAACAGUUCACACCCUCAGUAUGGAAAAGUGAUAGGCUCUCAACACCAGCCCAGCCCAUGAGAGCAGCCAUGGAGGCUAAAGCCUGCAAAGCCACAGGUGCACUGCCCUGGUAGAAGUUUUCCAUGAGCCUUGGCCUCUGCAGCAGGCUACUCCCCCUUCCUACUAUCCAUCACCCUCCCACCGCCCUACAGCCAGCCUAUUCUUCCCCACCCUACCCACCCCUUUUUUCUUCCAGCCCUACCCCUCCCAUCCAUGAUUAAAUAAUCUCCCACCAGGCCCCAUCUCCAAAAUUUGGGAUUACAAUUCCACAUGAGUUUUUCCAGGGGCACACAGCCAAAUCAUAUUAUGCUGACCUUGACCCCCCAAGUAUCAUAUCCUUUUCACAGAAUAAAAUACAAUCAUGCCUUUUCAAAGGUUUCCAAAAGGCUUAACUCCUUCCUGCAUUAACUCAAAUGUAAAAAGUUCCAAGUCUCAUCUGAGACAAGGCUACAGUCUCUUCUGCCUAUGAGUCCCUGAAGUUAAAAGGGUGUUUGUUUCUUUCAAGGUACAAUGAUGGUACAGGUACUGGGUAAACUUUCUCAAUCCAAAGGGAAGAAAUUUCCAAGAAAAAUAACACAAAUGGGACCACAGGCCCAAUGGACAUCCAAAAUCCAGUAUGUCAGUUUUCAUUCAAUCUCACAGCUCCAAAAUCAUGAAGAGAACUCACUAUCAGAAGGACAGCAUUAAGGAGAUGAUGUUUAACCAUUUGUGAAGGAUCCACCCCCACCCCUGCCUUUCACCCCCAACCCCACCACAAUCUCCUCCAACCCUCCCCACCCCCGAUUCCCUCCAACCCUCUCCACCCCAGAAUCCCCCCCACCCUCCCGGUGCCCCCAACCAUCCAACCUCCACUCUCCACCAUGAUUAAAUCACCUUCCAUCAGCCCCCACCUUUAACAUUUUGCAUUAACAUUCCACAUGAGCUUUGGUAGAGACAGAGAGCCAAAACCUAUUAUUCUGUCUCUGGUCCCCCAAAGUUCAUGUCUUUCUCACAUUGCAAAAUGUAAUGAUGCUUUCCCUAGAGUCUCUCAAAUCUUAACUCAUUCCAGCAUUUACUCAAAUGCACAAAGCCCAGAGUCUUAUCUGAGACAAGUCUACAGUCCCUCCUGCCCAUGAGCCAGUGAAUUAUAAAGCAAGUUUACUACUUCCAAGGUACAAUGAUUGUACAGGCAGUGGGUGACUCAUAGGAUACAUAAGUGUCCAAAACCCAGCAGGCCAGUCACUUAAUGCUACAGCUCCAAAAUCGCCAUUUUUGAAUCCUUGUCCCAUAUCCAUGGCACAGGGCUGUGAGGGCUGAGCUCCCAAGGCCUUGGGCAGAUCUGCACCUGUGGCUUUGCAGCGUUCAGCCUCCGCGGCUGUCUCUCAUGGACAGGGCUGUUGUUGAGUGCCCAUAGCUUUUCCACACUGAGGGUGCAAGCUGUUUAUGGGUCUAUGAAUCUGGGGUUUAGAGAAUGAUGCCUCCCUGUGUGGGGGCUUCAACCCUAUAGGUCCCUUCUUUGCUCCUCUAGUAGAGGUUCCCCAUGAAGCUCUGCCUCUUGGAAAAGCUUCUUCCUGAACAUCCAGGAUUUUCUGUGCAUCUUCUGGAGUCUAGACAGGAGUUCCCAAGCCUCUAAUCUCUUUCUCUGUGCACCUACUGGCUUAACACUAUAUGGAAACCAUCAAGACUUUGAGCCACCUCUGAAGCAAUGACCCAAGCUGUACCUGUGCAUCUUUCAGCCAUGGCUGGUGCUGGAGCUGCACGGAUGCCGGCAGCAGUGUCCUGCGGUUGAGCACAGCAGCAGAGCCAUGGGACUGGCCUAGGAAACCAUUCUUUUCUCCUAGGCCCCAGGGCCUGUGACAGCAAGGGCUGCUGCAGACAUCUCUAAAAUGCUUUCAAGGCUGGUUUCCCACUGUCUUGGCUUUUUGCACUGGGUUCCUUUUUAUACAAAUACCCUAAGCCUUCUUGAAUUUUCCCCCUCAAAAUCGGCUUUUCUUUUUGACCACUUAGCCAGGCUCCAAAUUUUCCAAACUUUAGAUCUCCACUUGAAGUUCCAACUUGAAGUCACUUCUUAGGUCACCCAUAAGAACACAAGCUGUUCAAUGUAGGCAGGACACCUCUUGUGCUAUGCUGCCUAGAUGUUCAUUUCACCAGAUACAUCCUAAAUCAUCACCCCCAAGUUCAUAGUUUCACAGAUCUCCAGGGCAGGGUCCCCAUGCAGCCAGCUUCUUUGCUAAGGCCAAUCAAAUGUAAUCUUGUCUCUUGUUCAUAGGAAAUUCCUCAUUUUCAUCUGAGAACUUUUAGUUCUGGACUUCAGUGUUUACACUUUUGUCAGCCUUCCUAUCACAAGUAUUUAACAAUUCUCUAUAGUGGUCCAAUAUUUUCCUCAUCUUGCUGUCUUCUAAGCUUUCCCAACUCUUCUGACCUCUGUCUUUUACCCACUUCUGAACCUGGUUCUACAUUGUCAGCUAUCUUUAUCACAGCCUGGCAAUGUGGUAAAACAGAAAAGUCCAUUUUCAGGAGGAAAGUUCAUGAAGGAUUCAGAUAUUUGCAUGAAAAGAAGCUGAGUGCUGGUUGCCAAGACAAAGGGGAAAGGGCCUUGAAGGCAUUUCAUGGCUCCACUUCAUAGUACUAAUUUUCUGCAUGAUCAUAAAGAAAAGAGGUUUAAUUGGCUCAUGGUCCAGCAGGCUGUAAAAGAAGCACAGUGGCUUCUGCUUCUGGGAGGAUCAGAUCAGGAAGCCUUCCAAUCAUACCAGAAGGCCAAGGAGCAAUGAGAUGUUUCAAAUGGCAGGGGUAGAAGAAAUACUGAGAGAGGAAAGAGGUGCCACCCCCUGUUAUAUAACCAGAUCUCAUGAGAACACACUAUCAUGAAGACAGCAUCAAGAAGAUGUUGCCUAACCAUUGGUGAAGGAUCUGCCUCCCACCCGCAACUCCCACUGUUUCCAGGCAGAAGCCUGCUGCAGAUGAAGCAUUCUUGGGAAACCUCUACUAGGGCAGUGCAGAAAGAAAAUAUGGACUUGGAGCCCCCAUGCAGGAGGCCACCACCCUCCAGACCCCAGAUACAUAGACCCACCAACAGCUUUCACCCUCCGUGUGGAAAAGCUACAGGCACUCAACACUAGUCCAGUCCAUGAGAGCAGCCAUUGGGGCUCAAACCUGCAAAGCCACAGGUGCUCUUCCCUAGUAGGGAUUUUCCAUGAGGCUCUGCCUCUGCAGCAGUCUACUACCCCUUCCUACUACCCACCACCCUCCCACCACCGUACAGCCAGUCUACUCCCUCCCACCCUACCCACCCCUUUUUCCCUUCCACAUCCACCCCCACCCAUCCAUGAUUAAAUCACUCCCUCCCACUCCCUGUCAUAAUCUAAUCCCUCCAAACCCUUCCAAUCUUUGUUUGCUACCCACUACUGAGCCUGCUUCUACUUUUUCAGAAAUCUGUAUAGCAGGUUGGCUAUGUAGCAAUAACAAAAAUCCCAUUUAAGGGGAAACAUUCAAGAAGAUUUCAAAAAUUUGCAUAUAAAGAAGCCCUGUGCUAAUAGCCAAAACAAAGGGAAAAAGGCCUUGAAGGCAUUUCACAGCUCCUCUCUGCAGUUCUACUUUUCUGUAUUAUUGUAAAUAAAAGAGGUGUAAUUGACUCAUGGUUCUGCAAGCUGUGAAGGAAGUAUAGUGUCUUCUGUUUCUGGGAGGAAUCAGGAAGCCUCCUCAUUAUAUCAGAAAGCCAAGUGACAAUGAGAUGUCUCCUAAAGCAGGAGCAGGAGGAUGAGAUCUGUUAAACAACCAGAUCUCAUGGGAACUCACUCAUUAUCAGGAGGAUAGCAUCAAGGUGAUGGUUCUUUAUCAUUUGUGAAGUAUCUACCUGCACCAUUUUAUGACUAAAUCUUUUUCCACCUAGACCUUGCCUGUAACAUUACAAAAUAUAAUUCCACAUGAGUUUUGGUAGGGACAUUGACAAAAACCGUAUUAUUCUGUCCUUGACCCGAUGAAUCUCAUGUCCUUCUCACAUUGCAAAAUACAAACAUGUCUUGCCAGCAGUCUCCCAAAGUCUUAACUCAUUUCAGGAUUAACUCAAAGUUACAAAGUCCAAAGUCUCAUCUGGGUCAAGGCUACAGUCUCUUUUGCCUAUGAGUCUCUGAAAUAAAAAGCAGGCAUUGUGUAAGCUUUCCAUAUCCAAAAGGAAGACAUUUUCCAGAAAGCUUCUUAUUUCUCUCUAAGACCUCCUCAGCCUGGCCUUCACUGUUCAUGUUUCUGUCAGGAUUUUUGUCACAACCAUUGAACCAGACUCUAAGAUAGUCCAAAAGUUUUCUCAUCUGUCUUCUUUUGAGCCCUACAAAGUCUUCCACCCUCCGUCCAUUACCUGGUUCCAAAGCUGCUUCCACAUUUCCAAGUAUCUUUAAAGCAACGCUCCAGUCCUCAUUUGCCAUUUUCUGUAUGAUUUAUUUUGAAAAAGAGGUUUAAUUGGCUCAUGGUUCUAAGCACAGUGCUUCUGCUUCUAGGCCUCAGAAAUCUUUCAAUAAUCAUGGAAGGCGAAGAAAGAAUCAAUUGUCUCACAUGGCAAGGGGAAAACACGGAGAGUGGGGAGGUGAUAUAGAGAUUUCAGUGACUACAUCUCAUGAGAAGUCACUCAUUAUUGUGAGGAUGGUACAAGGGGAGGGUGCUGAACCAUUCAUGAGAAAUUUGCCUUCAUAAUUCAAUCACCUUAUACCAGGAUCCACCUUCCACAUUAGGAAAUAUAAUUCAACAUGAGAUUCGGUGGGGACACAUAUUCAAAUUGCAUCAUCAAUCUUUGAAUAUAAAGACAUCCACAGCAGGCUUUAUCCAGCCAACUUCUUUGAGACUCUUUAUAGAGUUUGAAGUCUAGAGCAUAUACACUAAAAUAUUCAUACUUCGAAAAGCAAUAAAGUGGUAUUAUCAUUUUUCCAAAAGUUACAGCAGUAGUUUAGGCAUUCAUAGUAUGAUUUAGUUCACGAUUGCUACUGUUUCUAUUCUAUCACCAUAUUAACUGUUUCCUAUACAAUUCUGUAUUCAGCUGGAUUUCAGUUGAGCACAAAACCAUCCUUGUACUAGCUCUUUGCUAGUGUUAUUAUUCUGCUGUAGAAAGUAUCCUUGAACUGGAAACCGUCCACGAUCGAGUAUCGAGGCAUUCAACACUAUCAAUUCCUGGGUGACUUUUUGAAAAAGUAGUAUCUCUUGUUGCAAGAAAUGCUGCAUCUGUGAGUCCAUGUCUCUCACUGGAAUUGGAUGGAAGUGGUGAAUUUCAGCCAAAGUGGCCAAAGAAAUCCUGUUCCUGUGAUUCUGACGUCAUCAGCCUCUGCACCUCUGUCUUUCCUUCUGCCACAUGUUGCCUGCUCUCCAUGACUUUGGUAAGAGCUUCCUUGUGUAUGUGGAUGAUGUCCAGGAUGUUGGUCUGGUGUCCCUGAGACAGCACUAACAGGUCCAUGGCUGGGUCCAGGUCCUUCCUGGACUGACUGGCAAAGAGCUCACUGACAGAGUGGGAGGCAUCUAUACUGAAGUGGAUGGCCUGGUCCAGCUCCAAGGCCUGGCUGAGGCUGAAGAAGAACUGUCAGGCUUCUGAUGCUCUUUCUCAAAGCCUGCCACCACUCAUUGGCUGUGAAGUUGAGCUGAGUGCCCUGUUGUCCAUCUUCUUGGUGAAGCACUUGAAGCCGUCAAUCUUGCUCUUCCACUCCUAAAAGUUGAGUGUCACACUGGGGGUGGGCUCAGGGCCAGGAAGAAUCUGGCACUCACCAUCUCAUCCUUCUCAGCCUUCCUCUUGCCCUGUCUCCAGGCUAUCUCUUCAGUGCUGGUGGGGCACAUCAGGAAGUGACAAAAAAUGUGGCACUGCACCUGCAUCCAGAAGCUGGCUGUGUGGUUCAUCUACAAGAUUGGGCCCUUUCUGCACUUGAACAUAGAUCCACUUCACCAUAGAUGCCUUCCACACUGUCAGUGAGCUCUUUGCCCAUCAGCCCAGGCAGGAUCUGGACCCAGUCAUGGACCUGUUAGUGCUGUCUCAGGGACACCAGGCCAACAUUCUGGACAUCAUCCACAUACACAAGGAAGCUCUUACCAGAGUCCUCCUCAAGAUGGCCUGUGGUCUGCCUCUUGGCACCCGAGAAGCCCACAGUGCUGUAGAAGCCCCGAUGCUUGGACUAGAGCCCCAAAGGCGGCACACACCCCAGUUCUGAGCCUGCUGCUCAUUUCCUCUAUGUGGCUCCAUUUGCAGCACAUUUGUUGCACUGAGGCCUGUGCAUGCCAGGCAAAGCCAAGCUGGCUCAAAGAGCAACCACCCACCUCUGCAAGGGUGUGCCAGGAGCCAGUGGACCAGCCACCAACGUGACUCUCUGCCAGUCAGGGUAAAUCAUUUUUUCUGCCCUGGAGGUGGAGCCCCAGUGCCAUCUGCUUUUCCUCAGGCCUGCACUCCAUCAGCUGUCAGGUGGUGGUCACUCAGACUGUGGUAAACUGGCCAUCCCUAUUUCCUUGAGUGGGUGAGGUUGGUGACUGCUCCAUCUGCUCCUGGCACACCCUUGCAGAGGUGGCUGGUUGCUCUUUGAGCCAGCUUGGCCUUGCCUGGCAUGCACAGGCCCCAGGUACUGAGAAGCUGCUCCGAGUAAGUUUGUCUUGGGCCAAAUUCUAAGUCUGGCCAGGGCCACAGAAGGCCGAGUCCCAUGGGUGGUAAUCCUGGCUGCUGCAGGGGGGCCCAUGGUGCCCCUCCCCUCCCAGGGCUCAGGAUGAGGUCCGACUGGGACAGGAUGCUUUAGGUAUGGGACUUGUGCCCCAGGAGGGGACCUCUGUCACACACGUUGGGUGAGAAUAUGUAUGGCAUGCUGCUGGCUGCCAGGGCUGUUAGGAUGCACGUUCACCCUUACCUUCAGGGACCUCAAAGUGACCAGCUUCCGCUUUAUGAAUGACUUCCCAAGGCCCAGGAGCCAUUUGGGGCUGCAGAGCAGCUGGCUGCUAGCUGCCCUGGCUUCUUCCAUGUAGUGCUGGUCACUACCUACCAAGGGGGGUCAGAUGCAGGCACAAUGUAGGAUGAUUGUCUCUGGACCUGUGUCUUGGUUAUCAUGGAGCUAGACUGGGCCUGGUGACAGGGCCCUGAUGGGGUUGUCCUGUGUGGUCACGGAGGUGAUCAGAAAAGAUGCAGAAUGGAAUUGCUGCGAGGAUGAAUGAGAUGACUGUCAGCACAUAACAGGCAGCUGGUGAGUGUUCAGGGAUUACCCUCAGUAGCUGCCCAGAGGCCAAAACCAUCCACCUGAUAGUGACUUUUCCCAAACCAGGAGGAAGAGAAAAGAGCAGGUCCCACUCACCUGAAUCUGAUCAGUGAGCUGUGUUGAGAUGUGCCUCUCAUCUAGAAAAUGGUCCUUCACGCAGAGCUACUCACAGACACUGCUGUGUGUCUCUAACUGCUCCACAACACAGAGGCGAUGGGGACUCAGCAACAGUGACAUUGUGGGGUGACACAACCCACAACCAUGGGAGUCUGCUUGGGUCAACAGGGCCCAGAGUCAGUGUCCUCUAUCCCCUGAACUGACAUGUGUGUAUGCAAUGUAUUUGUGUAUGCAUGUGUGCCUGUGUGUGUGUGUGUGUGUGUGUGUGUGUGUGUGUGUAUGUGUCUUGCUUCUCUGGACAGGCCUAGCUUCUCCACUCAUGGGUGCACCCAGGUCCUCAUCACUGUCACCUUAGAGCAUUAGAGCCUCUAUAGUUGCUCCCCAAUCUCUACCCUCCCCACCCAUGGUGGUCCUGGGGAUGCAGACAGAGGAGGGGCACUGCAUAAUGCUGAGAGGCCUGGCACCCUCUCUAGGUGGAACACAGGUCAUUUGUAAAGUUGUAGGUCUGCCAAGCAGUAUUGGAUUCAACACAUCUUCUCACCUUCUCUUUCCAGCCACCCUCCAGGGUGCCCCAACUCACUUUCCCUGCAGAUGGAGGCAAGGAGCCUCCACAGACAACCCCCCUGCCUGAGGUCACAUAGUGGCCAGCAGGCCAGUUACUGACCAACUGCCCCUGACCAGGUUCCCAGUGAUGAGUGAUGAGGCCCCUAAUGACCACUCCUCCAUUGACCAGGUCCCACUGAUCAAGUCCCCACUGACCAUGUCUUCCUAACCAGGCCCACACUUAAUAGGCCUCAUGGGCCAGACCCCACUGACCAAUUUUCCACUGACCUGGUCCCCAUUGACAAGACCGGGUUCCCACUGACAAGACCACAAUUUACCAGGUUGCUGCUCACCCGACCCCCCACUGAACAAUUCUCCAUGAACGAGUACCCAGCUGACCGAGCCCCCUCUGACCAGGCCCUCACUGACCAGCCUCCAAGCCACUAAGGCCCCACACUGACCAGGCCAGUGAUAUAUUGUGUAUGCCCCACCAACCAGUUUUUCAUUGUUUAUGUUCCAACAGAUCAGGCCCCACUAAUAAAGCCACCACUGACUAGGUUCCCCCACUGACCAGGCUUCCUAUGGCUAGGUCACCAGGUCCCCACUGAUGAGGCCUUUACUGAGGAGGCCGCCACUAACCAGGCCCCUGCUGAUCAGGUCCCAAAUGACUAGGUCCUGAUGACCAGGUCAUCUCUGACCAUGGUCCACUGACCAGGCCCCGGAGCAACGGGGCUCAAAGUCUCAUUACAAUGUCCCCCUCAGCUCAUAGACCCUCCCUCCCUGCAUGUGUGCCCAGAGGUCAGGCCCUGGGGGUUUUUUUGGGACAUGGCCUUUCCUCCAAGACACAGGGAGAGACAGUUGGCCUCAGGCUCCAGGUUCCCAGCUCCACACUCACCCCAAAGGCCCUCUGGGCCCGUCUCAAAGGAGAAAGUGAGAUGGCCUGACACUGCCUGGACACACCAUCUACCCUAUUCCUGAGUGUCAGAGUGUGAGGAAGGGAGGGACAUUUAGCAGAUAAGGCACGCUGUGCUGUUGGGUCUCUCAGGGCCCUUCCCACAGAGCCCCGAUCUAAAGACACAACACAGAGGCUACAGGAAGACUAAUCCAGAACCUCUGAGACAGCCAGGGACCACAUGAGGACUCUCCCCAGACAGCCAGAAGGCCCUUUGCUAGUUUCUUGGUACCUCAGUGGAUGUGGCAGUGGUUCUUCUGUUGGGGACCAGUGAGUACACACUGGGGAGGGCUCACCUGUGCUUCCUCAGUGGCUCCACCUCUGCUUCUAAAAAAAAUUACUCAUUCCAGAGCUAGCGCAGAGAAAAUACAAGCUGAGCUUAGAACAUCUUCUGCCACAAAGUAAAAAAGUGCCGACAGAGUAAUGGAGACAAAUCAAAGAGACAUAAAGUCAGCUUGGAAUGUCUACUACUGGCCUAAUCUUGGGGAAUUGGAGCAUCAGAAUCAUGAGCUUUCCUUCUCCCUUAUUUAUUGGUUUUAUUUCUCCAUGUAGAACAAAGAAGAUAAUAAGAAAAUAAUCAUCUGGUAACCAUCAUAGUAAUAAUUGUUCAAACACAAGUCAUCCAUGAAAUGCUAAAUCUAGUGGGUUCUGAGGAGUAACCAGAUAUUUACAGAGCCUCAAAGUAUCUCCAUACAAAAUACGGUUGAACUACUAAAAGAAAAUUGUAACAUUAGCAUGGACAAACCUGAUGUGGCUUACCCGUGGAUUCCAGAGAAGAAAGUAGAUGGGAGCAAGUGUCCAAUACAGCAACAGCUGGAAAGAAAAAUAAAGAAUUUUGUUCUUUACCUAAAACACUUCAGUUAACUAAGUGUGAGUUUAAAAACUAAAGACUUGAGAACUUUAUCAGAGUUAAUAAGAACGAGAAAUAUGUAUGUACAUUUACAAUACAAAAUUACUAUUUAAUAAUUUACACAUGGCAUUAAUUCUAAUUGUGUUUAAAUAUCAGAGCUUUUUCAGGCUUCAUUCAUGUAAUCAACAGCCACAUGCUAAGGUACUCGAACCAGCAGUGGAAUUACAAGAUGAAGAUGGCAUGGUCCACCUCUCAACAGUCAUAAGCUAUAAUCUAAAAAACAGACAGGCAGGCAAUGUCUAUAUAGAGUCAUAUAUACCAUGACAGAUAUAGAGCAGGGCACUACUGGAACACAGAGAAGGGACAUCUACCCACUUUUAUGUCAAUAUCAUGGGCUUUCUGGUGGAGGAGAUAACAUAGGUUGAUACCUGAAGGACAAGGAAAAGCUUCCCAGAUAGAGGAAAGAGGCAAAGGCAAAGAGCCUGAGGUAAGGAAGAGCCCUGCAGAGUUCCACUCCAUCCAGUUUGGUGCUAGAGCAAAGGGCAGAGUGCAGUAAGCGGUGAGAAACAAGACUGAGUAACUUGACAAGAAUCACAUUGACAUGGGUGUUUUUAUUUCAUGGUGAAAAAUUUGGAACUUUUCCUGAGAACAAGUGUAAGCCAAUGACACAGUUAAUUAGAGGAGAUUUAAAAUGUCACCUGUCAAGUGACUGCUUAUGAAGGGUUAUUGCUCAGCUAAGUAUUUCUGAAUGAGUCUUAGGUCUGUUGGCCUUCAAUCUCUACCAAAACCCUGAGAACUUGAUGAUGCUUUUGUUUUCUGAGAAUCGUUUCAGUGUGCUGGCUGACAGUUCCAUGAGGAUGGCAAAACUUAAGAAAGUGUAGAGCCAAUGAAAAAGAGAUGCACAGACAUCUUGGGAACUGUUUAAGCUUUGGAACAUGAUGAAUUUAUGGUGCAUAAGUACAGUCUUCUCUGUGAAAGUUUUUGUUUUCACAUCUUUCAUUAGAUGUGUGUAAGAAAAAAAAUAUUGAUGUAGUAUCUACUAACCCAAGAAUGAAAAGGAAUGCCAUUUGCUAUUUACACUUUAUUUCUAAAAUAAACCUAAAUUUAAUUAAUAAAUUUUGUCAUCGUA
Homo sapiens (human) is the source of this 28445-nucleotide long non-coding RNA. RefSeq lists it as uncharacterized. The transcript is spliced from 3 exons. The record is from RefSeq and is a predicted model, not a curated record. NCBI's taxonomy places the organism in Eukaryota, Metazoa, Chordata, Mammalia, Primates, Hominidae.